RNAcentral lists this ribosomal RNA (404 nucleotides) under uncultured prokaryote. RNAcentral describes it as "bacterial SSU rRNA". It matches the Rfam family "Bacterial small subunit ribosomal RNA", at positions 355 to 776 of the family's 1533-position model. RNAcentral also lists the same sequence under 1 other name. The record is from RNAcentral.
UUGGGAAUCUUGCGCAAUGGGGGAAACCCUGACGCAGCGACGCCGCGUGCGGGAUGACGGUCUUCGGAUUGUAAACCGCUUUUCUCGAGGACGAUAAUGACGGUACUCGAGGAAUCAGCCCCGGCUAACUCCGUGCCAGCAGCCGCGGUAAGACGGAGGGGGCAAGCGUUGUCCGGAAUUACUGGGCGUAAAGCGCUCGUAGGCGGUGUCAUACGGCGGUGGUGAAAGCUCCCGGCUCAACUGGGAGAGGCCCGCCGCAACGGUGGCACUUGAGGUUGGUAGAGGCAGAUGGAAUUCCUGGUGUAGCGGUGAAAUGCGUAGAGAUCAGGAGGAACACCCAUGGCGAAGGCAGUCUGCUGGGCCACACCUGACGCUGAGGAGCGAAAGCCAGGGGAGCGAACGGG